CAGGUAAAUGCGUUAGCACCCAUGAUUAGAUACUGGAACACUUAUGUCUUUAAUGUGAGUUUACCGAAUUGCUUAUUAUGGUUUGAUCUCGAAUUAAUUAAUUCCGAUCAGGGAAGGGUAGCAUAGUUUUUCUUUAUGCCAGUCUCGUAUAUGAAUUUUCUGACCAGUUGAGCACGGACAAAUGAGUAAAUUUUAUGUGCUAAUAUAAAUUGAAGACAUCUCUGCAUCCAAUUGAGUGAUUGAUGAGUACUUAGAGAGUGCACUGAUGUUAUAUUCAUUUACACUUGGUAGGUUUAAGUCUUUUAUGCUGUAUUUAUACUUCCAC
This 325-nucleotide long non-coding RNA is filed under the name Olea europaea subsp. europaea. Lineage: Eukaryota; Viridiplantae; Streptophyta; Magnoliopsida; Lamiales; Oleaceae. The record is from RNAcentral.